Metopolophium dirhodum (rose-grain aphid) is the source of this 11891-nucleotide RNA transcript. It is a transcript of the gene named putative inhibitor of apoptosis, with no coding region annotated. NCBI's taxonomy places the organism in Eukaryota, Metazoa, Arthropoda, Insecta, Hemiptera, Aphididae. The transcript has 3 exons. The record is from RefSeq and is a predicted model, not a curated record.
CCGCCGUUUGUUAGUCUUUCGCUCUGGCCUGAGUGAGACUCAUGUCGGUUAAAUUCGCAGUUUUUUCAACUCGCCGUUUCUCAUUUUUGUCGUGUACGGCAUCGCGUAAUCACGUCGUUAAUCGUCGGCCGACUAUCACCUCUCUCUGCGACAACAACCGUGUUUGCUUAGUGUUUACGUGUCGCACGGUUCAAUCAGCAGAAUGAGAACCACUGGAAAUUGGACCUUGUGAACGUUCGGAUGCAACGACGUCCCCUUUCACCGCCGGCUCGGCGACACGUAUACAACAACAACAACAACCGCCGCCGCAGUCUCCCCUCCGCGCAACGUCUGGCUCGGAAUGCCGUCUGACGACGUUCAUUAAUUGGACGUGUACUGCGUAGCGUCGUACGGCGUCGGUGCACUGCGGACCAGUCGGCCAUUUAUUUCCAAACUUCACUUCUUCGUCGGUACCUACUGCUCUGCUGUGUGCGCACUGUGUUCGUCUCGUCGCCUCCAAACGCCGACGGUGAUUGUUUUCCGUUCGGUACGCCAUCGGGGCCGGCAUAACAUGGACAGGUUAGGUCUCAUUACGACGGCGAGAACUUGUUGAUUCAGUACCGGCGACUGAAGAAUUUCGCCAUGCAAGCCAUGUAUAACAGGUCAAGUAUAAGGGCUGUUCAUCGUGCAGAAUAUCUGGAACUGUUACAUUGUUACUGGUUUGCAUGCUGUAAGUUUAAGAUUUCUACUCGCAUUAUUCAAUAAGUUAUGAGUAGGUCUUGGAAGUUGUUGAAUUUCAAUGUUUUUAUUGGACUAUUAUAUUUACUAAGUUGGUUUGAAAUUAAUUUCACGACACUACCUACGAAAAGAUUCUAUAAUUAUUCCAUAAUACUAUUAUGCAUGUUAAAAUUAUUAAAUAUACAUUAACUAUAUACUUAAGGUAAAUAUAUUGGAUAGGAGGAGGGCAUGCCCCCUGGAAUGUCUAGGACUUAUCUACAACUUUAAUAACUAUAAAGAUUAUUAUCUAUUUAAUGUAAUCCAAACAUAAAACAAUGCCAAUUGGUAUAAAAUAAAAAUAAUAUCUUUCAUAGCUUGUUAACAUAAAUAUAAUAAGAAUAAUAGUGAAACAAUUAAUAUAUGCAUUAAAUAAAAAUUUAUAUUUUUACCUUUAAAUAAAAUGUUUAAAUAAAUCAACAAAGUAAAAAUAAAUGAAAAACUUAGUUAACAUACUCUGUAUAAAAUAAAAAUAGUACUCUAUAUGUCUUAUAAAGAUAGUAUAAUAAUAAAAAUAGUGAACCAAUAACUAAAUUGCACAAAAUAAACGUAAACACUAUACCAGAUGUUACCCAAUAAAUAUGAAAACAAAGUAUAAAAUAAAAAAACAUAGUUCAUUAUUAUAGUCAGUCUUUAUCUUUAUCUUCUAUGGAAGUCUUCCAUGCACUCUGGACAAACUGCAGUUUUAUAAUGUAUAUUUUGUGAUGAUGCACUGUAUUUAAAUUGGCACAAACCUAUAUCUACUUUAUCUCCCGUUAGUUUCUUUAGACUUAAAAAAAUUAUGUCACAUAUUGCAUCGUAAUAUUUUUAAAAUUAUGUGGUCUAAAACUUAAACUUUGUUUAGUUGAUUGGGUUUAGCCAUUUGAAUUCUGGCGAUGUAAUGUGAUGUAGAGUAGAAUUUAGGUUUGAAUAAUAUGUUUCUAAUUUGAAUGGAUGUUAACCACCUACAUCAUUGACCUUAACACAAAUAAUAAUUGCGAAAUAUUUUUAUUUUAUGUAAUAUGUUUAUAAAGUAUGACAAAUAUUAUGCUUAUAAUGGAAUCUUAUAAUUAAUAUUAACAAAUUAUACUAAUAUAUUAUGUAUCAUAACAUUGUGUUAACUAUAACUGAAAUUAUCAAAAUCAUUAGAAGUUUCUAUUAUUUUAUUUCAAUCAUUUGUAAUGUAAUAUAAAAUAAUAUGAUAAACUAAAUUUAAAAUCAACUGAUUAAUGAAAGGUCUUGAAUUUUGCAGACGCAUAGUUACUAAAAUUAAAUAUUUGUUAUGUCAUGAAUAAUGAUAAUAUAAAAGAUAACUAAAAAUAGUUUUAUCAUUUUUCUUCAUAUUCAACAUUAGCUGAUUAUCUCCCAUGUACAAAAUACGUACUAACCAAAGUGUGACAAUCCUCCGCUAUGCAUUAGAAGUGUAUCAGAGAAACAUUAGAGGGGCCCACAUAAGAGGUUCAUUGUUUUGAAGGAUUAAAAUGUUUAUGUGAUAACAUUACAAAUUGAAAUAUUUAUUACUAGAUUAUUUUCUGAAUUCAGAGACAUUAAAAUGUAAAUUUUUGAUUUAUUUCACAUAAGAGACUUUGAGCUUUGUCCUGAGCAACAUCAUGUUUAAUUUAAUGCAUUUGCUGGAAUUAAAAACCAAAUAACUUCAUUUUGACGAGAAAUUCAAUAUGGUUAUGGAACAAUGGAAUGAUAGAAAAUAUUUAAAUUCCUUAGAUGAAAAUAAAAUCAUAUUAUUAUAGGAAUAUUCAAGAAACCAAUACAUUUUUGACUUAGAGGCUAUUAACUUGUUUUAUUUUCUUUAAACGUACACAGCCGUAAACAUGGUACUUUAGUUAUGAAAUUAAUUAUUUUGUCAUUGUCAUAUCAAACUUAUAGUAGACAGCCAAUUCCUAACAAGUUUUAAAAUAUUUUUGACAUCUAGAUUUUAUAGUAUUGCCAUAUUAUGCCACUUUUCUUCUGCUUUUUUUUCUAAGAUUAAACAUUGAGUCAACCACAAUUAUUUUCUAUAAAUCUUUUGAAUAUGGUGAAGUUUGGUUAACUUUUUAAUUUGGCCAUUUAAAUAUAAUAAUAAUUUAAUAUAAUUUUCCAUAUUAUGUUAUGCGUUUAUUUCUGCAGUCGAAUAGUAAAUUAAAUAUUUAAAAUUGUUUAAUUCACUUUAAAAAUUGAAAACUUAUUUUAUCCAUAUGAUUGAGUACAAUUAUAUAAGUUGUGUACAUAAGCAACCAUUUUAUAUAUCAUAUAAAUACAAUUAGGCAAUAUCUUAGUGUAAAUGUUCAUAACAACACAAAUAAUUAAUAUUUUACAAAAUGUAACAUAAAAUAAUUAGGUUGAACAGAAAAUGAAAAAAUUAUACAAACAUAAAAAAUAAAUAUUAAAAUACCUAGUACCUUAAGUAUUGUUUAUUUAUUUAAGUGUUAGUUGGUCCUUUGUCCAACUUUGUUACUGUUAUGCACAUUAAUGUCUUUUACAUAGAUAAAUAAACAAAGGACCUGUGUUAGGUAUAUUUGGAUUAAUAAUAUUUAUUCUUUCUUCAGAAAAUAUACGUUUAAAACAAGCAAACAAAUUGCGUUCAUACACACAAAAAGUUUGGUUACAAUUUGACUUCUUAAAAUAAUUGUCUGUUAAAUAAGGUUUCUGUUGAAAUUCUAAACUGUAACUAUAAUAUUACUAUAUUAUCAUAAUUUUAUUUUUGUGUUUUUGAGCUAUAACUCUGAAGGUUAAUACUUCUAUUGAUUAUACUUUUUCAAUUCAAACAUAGAUAUAGUAUCUAUUGUCAAAUGCUUUUAUCAUUUGCACCAUCUAAAUAUUUAUAAAACAAAAUAUAAGAAUAAUAAAAAUACAAAUUUAUACUUAUUAUUAUUGACAUUGUUAAAUGCGGCCCUUCAGGGAUUCCAAAUGAUGAUGAUUGAAAUAAGUUGUAGUAGUCGUGAAGUUACUUAGGUCUCAACUGCUCUGGUACAUCUGAAUAUGCCAUGUCCUGGCCCCUCUAUAUAUGAUUUCAGCUCCUUUGAUAUGGCUGGCUCGUGCAUUUGCCGGUGUUUUUAGGUGAGGUCGUUGCAAGUUGUUGUUGUCGUAGAGAUGCAACAACCUGGCCUUGGAAAUUUCUAAUGGCUAAUUUGAUAUAGUUGCCAACUUCCAAAAGCCAAGCUAGCAGUCCUAUGUGCGAGUCGCGCGCUGCCAGUUCUAUGAAUCUGUUGAUUCAUAGUUUUGUCUAUUUAAUUGAAUGAUUAUAAGUGAAACCCAUUGUCCUUAAUAUUAUAUAAUAUAUUAUAUAAUAUGAAUAUAAUAUGAAUCUGUGAGGCCAUUGCUCACAACACCUCCAAAAAAAAAAAGGUUUCGGACUCCUUUAGGCACAAAUGUUUACAAUUAUGUUUUACAAUUUAAAAUUUUGUUGAACAUUUUAUAGUUGAUUAUAAUUCAGUUACAAUUUUUGUUAUACAUUUUACAAUUAAUUUACAAUUUUGUUUUACCUAAAAUUGUUUUUACAAUUCUGGAACUUAAGUAGGUAUUAUAUGCAUCAUAAUUAUAUGAAGUAAAUAAAGUUGGCCUCGGAAUUGGAUAUGGUGGAUAUGGUUUAUCUUGAGGAGAGUAAGCUGGAUUAUAUGUCAUCCAGAAAUUUCAGGUUUGUCAUACUUUUCUUCUAAUUCCGAAACCAACGUUAAAACUUUUAACUUGGCCUCAGAUAUACCUUUUUUUGAAAAUCAAAAAAAUUCUCGUUGGCACAAUCGCCAUCUGUGGCGUUUGCGCUGCUACUGUCGCUGCUUUUGCUACUGCCACAGCUACUGCUACUGUCAUAGUUGUUUUUGAUAUCAGCUACGUUUUAAUCUUAAUACGUAUUUCAAAAAAUCUUGAGUUAAAAGGUUUUUAGCGAGACUACUCUACUUCGACGCCAUAAACCUACACGUGUCUACGAACCGUAUGGUAAACGUCCUACUUUUAUAUUUCGAAAAUGAUAUAAAUUUCUCUUCGCUAUUAGCAAUAACCUUAACCCUUUCUGAACAAAAGCUUAAAAACAUUAAAAAUAUAAAAAAAAUUUUGUGACUUUCGAUUUUUUUCCUAUAUCUAAGAUAAGGUAUGAACAAAAAAAUCUAUAAUUUUUGAUCCUUGAUCCUUAUUUUAUCCUGGGACUCAAAAGUCCCGUCAGUCCUUUACGGUCUGGACUUAAGUCCCACCAGGCAUUUAGGUUAUUUUUCUUAUAUAUAUAAACAAUAAAAAAAAAAACGCGUUUUCCUAAGGAUUUUUAAAAAAUACAAACGAUUACAAUUUAUAGAAAAUUUUAUUUUUUUUAUAUACUUAACACGUUCACCUCCGCACGUAUAUUCCUAGUCUACCGCCACACGCCGCGUAACUGUUGGCAACAUAUUACGUGUGCCAAUCCGUAAUCGACGGCAGCCAUUGUCUAUAUCAAUGAAGGCAAUAGCCGGCGCCGAUCACGGAUCGUCGUAUAUUCUGAAAUUUAGUUUCAUACUAGACAUUUUUUUAAUUUUGAUUCAUAUGAAAUACGUUAUUAAUAUUUAUUGUUUUAUAAAAUAAAUACAUAAUGACUCCUUAUCACACAUGUAAAAUAUUUUUAUAAAAUAAACAAAAAUAACUUGUACAUAAAAAAACAAUAAAAUAAUAUAAAUAAUAAAUCUUCAGAACAGAAAAUAACCUUGUAACUCUUGUAAUUAAAAAAACAAAAAAAUAACAUAAAUAACAAAUCUUCAGAACAGAAAAUAACUUUGUAACUCUUGUAAAUAAAAACAAUAAAAUAAUAUAAAUAACAAAUCUUUAGAACAGAAAAAAAUAGAUAAUUACAUUCUAAAACCUAAUAAUUAUUAGUAGUUAUAUUUUUUUAUGGUACUCUUCAAAGCAACUUUCAAGACACAAACCUGGUUUUUCAUUGCAUUCCAUACAGUAAUAUAUCGUAUCUUUACGAAUGCCUUUUCCUGAACAAAUUUGACAUCGUUAGUAUUUGUAUUUUUUUUUAUAAUUUUUUUCUACUUUUUUGGGAAGAUGUGUUUCAUUUAUUUUUUUCGUGAUUCGAGCAUUCUUAUUAUCCAGAUCGUUUGGUAAUAAUGCUUCAAUCACAGACAGUCUAAACUCAUACAACAUUGUCUUCUUUGCAUAUUUAUUGUAUAAAAAAUAAGAAUUUACCAAUAACAAAUGUAUACAAUGUAUACCAAUUUUUUUGUACCAUCUUAUAGUCUUUCUUUCAAACGGAUAGUACGAAGUCAUCUGAUCUUGGCGAUCUAUUCCAGACAUAUGUUCAUUAUAUUUUAUAACUGAAAUUGGUUUAAAUAACUAUUUGAAGAAUAAAUUUGUAUUGAAAAACACUUGUGUUUUAUUUGGAAGUUUAUUCACUAAAUGAUUUUAUCCCACAAACAAUUAUUUGUCUGAAAAUAUUUAAGUCAUUUAUAACUGAACGAUUGAAAAUAGUAUUAGAAUAGUAUUAAUUUGCUGAAAUUAAUAAUUGUUAGUAAUCGCACCCUUGGAGCAAGACCGCCUCUUCUUUAGAUCUGUUGUUUUGAGAAAAAUCAUUUUUAAGUUUCUAAUUUUAAUUGAGAACGUAAUUUUUAAGUUAUUUCAAUGAUUUAAACCUUAUAUUUAACAUUAUUAUCUGUACUUUGAACUAGUGUAGAUUACGAUAUUAAUAUCUUAUUGCUAUUAAUAGAAUUUAACUUUAUGGCGGUUUUAAAUUAUAUUUAAUUAUACAAUAGUGCCACAUUUUGAUAUAGUGCAGUAUUACAUUACGUUUUUAAAUGAGUAUAAGCCAUAAACACUAAUAUGGCAGUCUUAUUUUGUGGCAUUGAUACAUAAUAAUGCCACAUUUUGAUUUCAGUCAGUCUUGCAUUAGGUGAGGUUGCAUAUUAGAAUGUUGAGUUCCAACUUUAUGCAUAGAAAUGGUACCUAGUUACACUAAAUUUUUUGUCUUAUUACUUUUGAAAUGAAUAAAUAAAUAAUUUAAUCAAUUAGAUGCUCACAAAAUACAACCAACAAAAUAUAACCUUAUAAUGUUAUGUUUAUUAUUAUAAUAAUAUCAUAAAAAAUUAUUUAAAAUAAACAUCUUACAUUUUAUAUUUUUAAAAUAAUGUAUUAUAUUUAAAUAAUAACAAUAAUAUUCUUUAUACUUCAAAUUGUACAACAUAAACUAAAAUAAAAUAAAAAAUAAAAAAAUAUCCGGUAACAGUUACCUAAUUUUAAAGUCUAAAUUAUAAAAAUUAUGUUUUAUAGGUAAUGAAAAAAUAUAUUUAACAUAAUACUUAUUCUUUUCCUUAAAAAAAAAUUAAAAUACCAAGUAACAAAAUAAACACAUUUAACAACUUAAUUAAAAUCUUUAUCAUCAGUAGUUACAGGUGAUGUAUUUGAAAUUGUGUUCAACUGCUUAAAAAAAUAAUGAUAUGUAUCUGGUAUGAAUUUAGCAUCACAUAAAUUAACAAGAUCUCUUUUUUUUCUUUAGAUAUACCAGGUGGCGUUUGAUACAAAGGACUUAUAUCCAAUUCAAUAUUAUUUUGUUUUGACUUUCUUGUUUUUCUUGAAACAAUAAUUUCCAAAAAAAUCAUUUUGAUCAUAGGAUGUUUUGUAUUGUAUUCUAUCUGGUAAAUCAUCUACUCCAUUUAACCUGUUUAGGCCCACCUCUAUGCCAUUUCUUGUGCUUGACCAAUUUUCUACAUUUUCAUUUUGUUUGUGCUUGAUGAGUAUACAAUUUUUUGUUGUGGUAUUGGACUUUUUUUUAACCAUUCCAACUAAUUUUUUUCCAGGAUUCAUAGUGAUCUAAAAAUGUGCAUAUUACAAUUUAUUGUAAUAUAGUACUGCUAAUAACCAACAACAUAAAUUAAGCAUAGUAAAAUACCUACAAUAAAAUACACAAACUCAUGACAAAAUAUAAUGUUCCUACUCAUUUGAGACUUUUUUCAUUUAAUUAUAAUGUUCUAUUAUAUUAUUAUAAAAGUUUACUUACAAAAUAUUCAAACCUUUUCAUUGGUAAAAUGUUGAAAGGCCAACUUCAAAAUAUUGUACGAAUUUCACAUCAUUUUUAAUGUAUUAAUGUAAUAAUAUCAUUAUCAAUUGAUAUUAAUAUUAAUAUAUUAAAUUGUUAUUAUCAUUUAUGAACAUGGAAAAAUCUCCCAUGUGCAUAUUUCAUACACGACACUACAUCUACUCUGCAUGCCAAUAUCUCCAAUGUAAUUUUGACCAAAUUUUUAAUCACAUAGGAGGUAUUUCAUAAACGAUUUAUGGUUGGUAACACAUAGGAGGAAUUGUAUAUUAUUUUUCAUUAAUUCUACGAUGGAGAUAGCACAUAGGAGUUUUUAUCAAAAUGACCGCCUAUUUUUUCUGAAUCCAGGGAUACCGAACAAUAUCUCAAAAUCGAAAAUUUGGCACAUAGGAGGUUUUUUCGUGUCAACGACGAUAUGUUAUAUAUAUAUUUACUUAGGGUAAUUGAGUAUGAAGCUAGGGUCCCAUGUUAUUUCUAUUAUUUUUAAUAACUACAUUCUCCCUUACAGUGAUCCUUCAUUAAUAACUCAAUAUUCCUAGUAAUUUUAUUUAAUUUCUUAAAUUAAAAAUGUUCAUUUAAUUUUUUGUUAGCCUUUAAAAUAUGUCAAUUUAUACAUACUGUCUUCAUGUUAUCUCUCUUAAGUUUAUACAUGUGUAGAUACUUCAGUGCUUAUAAUUCUUUUUAAUUCUUCAAUGAAGAAUGAUAGUUAUUUUUACUAUAUUAAUUCCUCUUAUCCAUUCUGUGUUUUCUGCAUAUUUUAUAUAAUUUAAUUGUCCCCAUUUUUGACAUGAUUCCAACUUAAAAAAUCCCAGUUCCUACUGCUUGGUUCAUAUUUUUGUUUAACGUGGUCCGCUUGCCUGACUUUGAAUGUUUGUUGUGUUCCGGAGUCGUCAAGGUUGAUCAAUACCUCGACUGUGACUUGUGAAAGCGGCUUCCGUGGAGUGUGUGAAGUCAUAAUAUUUUCUCGCCUCCAUGAAUAAGCCCUAAUGCUAUAAAGGAAAAUAUCACGUGAAUCAUCAAGAUCGCAAAUGUGAUUAUGUUAAAAUACUCUAAAAUUUCCCCUAUCCUUAAACAAUUAAUUAUUGUUACAUCUGUAGAUUUGUUCCAUAGUACUAUUUUAGGGUCUUUGUUUAUAGUGUGCAGGUAUCUUUGAAGAUAAGUUGUUGACAAGUUUGACUCCCCCUGAUGGUUUGGUUAUACUGCUGUAUAAUUGUCCCAACAAAGGUCUCAUCAAGUCCUGUUUGUGGCGAAAUAUUCUUUUGAUUGCCUGCAGUAUCUUUUCCAAGUCAUAGGGCCUUAACCUUCUCAACUUUUCAUCUUGUAUAAGCAUAAGAUGGCUCCCCUCCAGUUUUACUGGUACCUUUCCAAGUUGUUGGAGAUUGCGCUAGACAUCAAUAGUACAAUAUUAUUUCUGUUUUAUUAAUCAUAGUGAAUUCAAAAUACACCAUGAAGAAAUGUAUCUGAGAACUAAAAUAUAAAUUACAUUAUUUCCCUAAUAUUACUAUUUAUUAUUAAUUUUUUCUUUAUUUCUUUUAUAUAUAUUCUUAACAUCUCAAGCAAGAACUUAUUUCUUUGAAUGAUCAAUAGACAUAAUAGGUCUUGCAGUUAGUUACUCCAAUAUCAUGCCUAUAGUUAAACAAACCAAUCUGUUUGCCGUGGAUUGUCAACCAGUGGAUUAGCAAUCUUGCCUUUAUUUUUUAGCUUUCUCAGUUUCGCUAGAAACGUUUACCUUUUUCAAACGUGGAAAAAAACUUUAUUAGAAGAAAUUUGAGAAAAUAAAUGUACAAACCACACAUUGCUCACAUUUCAGGCACUUAGAUAUCCUCUCUCUUCUACUAGCAUGUUCACAACUGACCUUCCCCCUACAUUCAACUUUAUUAUUUUUAUCGAUGGUCAACCUAGCAUCUUGCCAUUUGUUUUAUAAAAUAUUAUUUUAUUGUUGAAAUGUACUAUAAAGUUUUACCUGUUGUAAUGACUGGUGACCUACUCACCUCUAAAAUUGGUGUGGUAAUUUAAUUUUUUUAUUACAAAUUUGUAUCUUUUAAGUCAUGAAAAUUUCUAUUUUAUUUAAGAACAGUUUCAAUUACUAUAUCAAGUAAGAACAAUUUUAUGCUUGUAGAUGAUUAUUAAUUUAUAAGUACAUUUACUGUAUAAUAUUAACAUAUUUAGGUAAUCGAAAACAAUGAAUGUUUGAUACAAUUUUGAUCUGAAUUAUGAAUUAAAGAUUUUAUUUGGUUUUUUACAUAAACUACAAUUAAAACAUUUUUUAAUAAAACAAUAUGUUUGAAUCUUUAUUUUAUUAUUACAUUAUAACUUUAUUAUUAAUUAUGUAUACUUAUAUAAUAGCUAUUUGUUCUUAUCUACCAUAAUUGCAUUAACAUUGAUAUACAUUUGUUUUAAGUUAAAACAAAUAAAAAAUAAAAAAGAUGCUUUAUACGUGUUAUACGUAUUAUUGUGCAUAAUAAUUGUAAGUUGAAAAUUCAACUGAUAUAUGAUCAAGUUAGCUGUGAUUUGAUGUAAUAUUCAAUAAAUGCAUAUGUAUGAGCCCCUGGCGUGGUCUAACAAUCCGCAAGCUCUUAAAUGUAUAUUUGAAUGAACAUGUUAAAUAUACAACCCAAAAUCUCAAACAUAAAUGGUUGGUUGUACAUGUUAGCUAAUUAGCAUAUGUGGUAAAAGCUUGUAUGUGUAUUUAUACACAACAGGUAUAUUAUAUGUCUAUACACAAUGGUGUUAUAAAAAAUACGGUAAAUUAACAGUGAACAAGUUUAUAAUGCAAUGUGUAGUAAAGAAUAUUUAAAAAAAUAGUUGUUAUAUUAUAGUGUGUAUAGUUACUUUUAUUUUUAUUCUGUAAAAUAAAAUAAUUUACUGAUCAAAUAAGUUUUAUGUAAGGUUAAGCUAUUAUUAUUGUUAUUAAUUGGUGAUGUAGUAAAUAUGUAAACAACCAUCUAUAAAUAUUAAUUACACUACUAGAUAAAUAUUGUAUAAAAAAAAAAAAAUAAAUAAAAAAAAAUAGUUUUCGUGUUACAAUGUUAAUAUUAUAUAAUGAACCAUUAUUAUUAAAAAAAAAAAAAAUAUUUUAUCGCUUUGAAGAGUUUAAAUUAAAGAGAAACAAUUACAAAAACAUCACAAGCGUAAAAUAAAGUUUUUUUAUAAAAACAUUUGAUUGUUAGUUUGGUUUUAUUUUCCCAAUAUGUUUUGUCAUCAACAAAAAAUAAUAAAUUUUUACAACGUAUUUGUGCUAGGUUGUACCAUCUAAAUCCUACAUUGUAUCGUGUUUAAAUCCAUUAUAUGGCAGUUGGUAAAAUAUCAUCCAAUAUUUAUAAAAUUAAUUUUAUUUAAAUUUUUUUAUUGAUCCAAAUAAAAAAUCAGAUUUCAUAAUAAUUUAGAAUUGAGUUAACUAUUUUUGUAUUGUUUGAAUACAAUUCUAAUAUGCGAUGGUCUUCUAUGAUAUUUUCCAAUAGAGUUUCAUUUCCUUUUCAUCACAAUUCCUAACUUGGAAUCUGAAAAAGUAGAUUAAUUCAGUGGGCUAUUUAGGUCCAGAAUUUAUCUUUUACUUUUAAAUAUAUAAUUUACAUAUAUAGUAAUUACAUUAUAAUAAUAUGAUGAUGAUGAUCAUGACGAUACAUUUAUUAUUGAAUUUGUAGAAACAGACGUCAUAAUUUUUACGUACGCGGGUUUUCGAUCUAUCGAAUUAUUAGAAAUAUUUUGUUUACUUAUAGACGACGACGACGACGAUACAUUUAUUAUUGAAUUUGUAGAAACAGACGGCAUAAUUUUUACGUACGCGGGUUUUUGAUCUGUCGAAUUAUUAGAAAUUUUUCGUUUACGUAUGUUAUAACUUGUUUUAUUUGUUACAAAAUUAUUAUUUUGAUUAUGGUUAGUUUGUAUUUUUUGUAUAAAUUUAACGCAUUUCGUAUCGUGUCGGGGUCGUCGUCGUCGUCUGUUUCCGUAUUAGGCGAAUUUUCUUUAGUUCUAUGCAUAGUUAUAUUUUUUUUAUUACGCGUGUCCCUAACCUUAUUAUUUGAUAUUUUUUCGUUUGUACAUUUGUUGUUAUUUAGCGAAUUUAAAGUUUCGGUAUAAUAUAACAUCUUUCGUUGCUUGUACGUUACCGUAUGUAAAUUGUUACUAAUUUUUGUAGUGAUUCGUUGUUCGGCCUCUUCAAUUUUUCUUUUUU